Molecule: ribosomal RNA, 746 nt
Filed under: uncultured bacterium
Lineage: Bacteria
Description: bacterial SSU rRNA
Rfam family: Bacterial small subunit ribosomal RNA
Source: RNAcentral
AGGGUUUGAUCAUGGCUCAGAUUGAACGCUGGCGGCACGCCUAACACAUGCAAGUCGAGCGGUAGCAUGAUUAGUAGCAAUACUAAUUGAUGACGAGCGGCGGACGGGUGAGGAACACGUAGGAACCUACCCUCAAGCGGGGGAUAACUAAGGGAAACUUUAGCUAAUACCGCAUAAUCUCGAGAGAGAAAAGCUACCCGCAAGGGCGGCACUUGAGGAGGGGCCUGCGUCCGAUUAGCUAGCUGGUGAGGUAAUGGCUCACCAGGGCGAUGAUCGGUAACUGGUCUGAGAGGACGACCAGUCACACUGGGACUGAGACACGGCCCAGACUCCUACGGGAGGCAGCAGUGGGGAAUAUUGGACAAUGGGGGCAACCCUGAUCCAGCGAUGCCGCGUGAGUGAAGAAGGCCCUCGGGUCGUAAAGCUCUUUAGUCCGGGAAGAAGGUAUUGUGGUGCAUAGCCACGAUAUUUGACGGUACCGGAAGAAUAAGCACCGGCAAACCCUGUGCCAGCAGCCGCGGUAAUACAGGGGGUGCGAGCGUUAAUCGGAGUUACUGGGUGUAAAGGGCGCGUAGGCGGUGAGAUGUGUGUGAUGUGAAAGCCCCGGGCUUAACCUGGGAAGUGCAUUGCAAACUAUCUGACUAGAGUAUAUGAGAGGGUGGCGGAAUUUCCGGUGUAGCGGUGAAAUGCGUAGAGAUCGGAAGGAACGUCAAUGGCGAAGGCAGCCACCUGGCAUAAUACUGACG